UAAUGAGGGGAGGAAAAGAAACUAACAAGGAUUUUCUUAGUAGCGGCGAGCGAAAAGAAAACAGUUCAGCACUAAGUCACUUUGUCUUAAUGGCAAAUGUGAGAUGCAGUGUAUGGAAUGUCAAAUUUCUAGUAUGAGAAAUUAACGAUUUAAGUCCUUCUUAAAUGAGGCCAUUUACCCAAAGAGGGUGCCAGGCCCGUAUAACGUUAAUGAUUACUAGAUGGCAUUUCCAAAGAGUCGUGUUGCUUGAUAGUGCAGCACUAAGUGGGUGGUAAACUCCAUCUAAAACUAAAUAUAACCAUGAGACCGAUAGUAAACAAGUACCGUGAGGGAAAGUUGAAAAGAACUCUGAAUAGAGAGUUAAAUAGUACGUGAAACUGCUUAGAGGUUAAGCCCGAUGAACCUGAAUAUCCGUUAUAGAAAAUUCAUCAUUAUGAUUUUAAUAUUUAUAAUAUUAUAAUAAUGGUGUGCAUUUUUUCUAUAAAGGACAUUGUAAUCUAUUAACAUAAAUAUAUUUAUCAUAAGAUCAGGUGCUUAAGUUUAUUCAAAUUAUUUUGCUUGCAACUUAACAUAGAAUAAAUGCGCUUGAUUUGAUAAAGUGUUGAUAGAUUUAUUAUAUAUAGUGCUUAAAUAUUUAUAUUUUAUAAUAGCAUAUUAAUCAUUGAUUUUUAUGUUUAUUAUAUGCACUUAUAUGAUUAACAAUGCGAAAGAUUCAGGAUACCUUCGGGACCCGUCUUGAAACACGGACCAAGGAGUCUAACAUAUUUGCAAGUUAUUGGGAUAAAAAACCUAAUAGCGAAAUUAACAUAACUUUAUUAAUGGGAUUAGUUUUUAGCCUAUUUAUAGUCUAUUAAUUCAAUCCCGGGGCGUUCUAUCAGUUAUGUAUAAUAAUAUUUAUAUUAUUUAUACCUCUAACUAGAGCGUACCUUGAGCAUAUAUGCUGUGACCCGAAAGAUGGUGAACUAUACUUGAUCAGGUUGAAGUCAGGGGAAACCCUGAUGGAAGACCGAAACAGUUCUGACGUGCAAAUCGAUUGUCAGAAUUGAGUAUAGGGGCGAAAGACCAAUCGAACCAUCUAGUAGCUGGUUCCCUCCGAAGUUUCCCUCAGGAUAGCUGGUGCAUUUAAAAAUUAUGUAAAAUAAUCUUAUCUGGUAAAGCGAAUGAUUAGAGGCCUUAGGGUCGAAACGACCUUAACCUAUUCUCAAACUUUAAAUGGGUAAGAACCUCACCUUUCUUGGUAUGAAGGUUGUGGUUGUGAUAUAAUGUGCCCAGUGGGCCACUUUUGGUAAGCAGAACUGGCGCUGUGGGAUGAACCAAACGUAAUGUUACGGUGCCCAAAUUAACAACUCAUGCAGAUACCAUGAAAGGCGUUGGUUGCUUAAAACAGCAGGACGGUGGACAUGGAAGUCGUAAUCCGCUAAGGAGUGUGUAACAACUCACCUGCCGAAGCAACUAGCCCUUAAAAUGGAUGGCGCUUAAGUUGUAUACCUAUACAUUACCGCUAAAGUAGAUGGUUUAUGUUCAAUUUCGGUUGGAUUGUAAACUUUGAAACUUUAGUGAGUAGGAGGGUACAAUGGUGAGCAUAGAAGUGUUUGGCGUAAGCCUGCAUGGAGCUGCCAUUGGUACAGAUCUUGGUGGUAGUAGCAAAUAAUCGAAUGAGACCUUGGAGGACUGAAGUGGAGAAGGGUUUCGUGUGAACAGUGGUUGAUCACGAGUUAGUCGGUCCUAAGUUCAAGGCGAAAGCCGAAAAUUUUCAAGUUAUAAUGAAUAGUAAAAAAAUUUACUUAGUAAUUAAACACUUGAAUAAUUUUGAACGAAAGGGAAUACGGUUCCAAUUCCGUAACCUGUUGAGUAUCCGUUUGUUAUUAAAUAUGGGCCUUGUGCUCAUCCUGGCAACAGGAACGACCAUAAAGAAGCCGUCGAGAGAUAUCGGAAGAGUUUUCUUUUCUGUUUUAUAGUCGUACUACCAUGGAAGUCUUUCGAAGAGAGAUAUGGUAGAUGGACUAGAAGAGCAUGACAUUUACUGUUGUGUCGAUAUUUUCUCCUCGGACCUUGAAAAUUUAUGGUGGGGUCACGCAAACUUCUCAACAGGCCGUACCAAUAUCCGCAGCUGGUCUCCAAGGUGAAGAGUCUCUAGUCGAUAGAAUA
Molecule: ribosomal RNA, 2148 nt
Filed under: Chrysomya nigripes
Lineage: Eukaryota; Metazoa; Arthropoda; Insecta; Diptera; Calliphoridae
Description: partial 28S ribosomal RNA
Rfam family: Eukaryotic large subunit ribosomal RNA
Source: RNAcentral